Molecule: ribosomal RNA, 497 nt
Filed under: uncultured bacterium
Lineage: Bacteria
Description: partial 16S ribosomal RNA
Rfam family: Bacterial small subunit ribosomal RNA
Source: RNAcentral
GAUGAACGCUGGCGGCGUGCCUAAUACAUGCAAGUCGAGCGAACGGACGAGAAGCUUGCUUCUCUGAUGUUAGCGGCGGACGGGUAAGUAACACGUGGAUAACCUACCUAUAAGACUGGGAUAACUUCGGGAAACCGGAGCUAAUACCGGAUAAUAUUUUGAACCGCAUGGUUCAAAAGUGAAAGACGGUCUUGCUGUCACUUAUAGAUGGAUCCGCGCUGCAUUAGCUAGUUGGUAAGGUAACGGCUUACCAAGGCAACGAUGCAUAGCCGACCUGAGAGGGUGAUCGGCCACACUGGAACUGAGACACGGUCCAGACUCCUACGGGAGGCAGCAGUAGGGAAUCUUCCGCAAUGGGCGAAAGCCUGACGGAGCAACGCCGCGUGAGUGAUGAAGGUCUUCGGAUCGUAAAACUCUGUUAUUAGGGAAGAACAUAUGAGUAAGUAACUGUGCACAUCUUGACGGUACCUAAUCAGAAAGCCACGGCUAACUACGUG